AUCAUAAGGAAUUCUGAAAUUUGGUUUCAUGGUUUAUAUAAGUCAGCUAUACUGUGUGAUGUGUUUUCAGAUUCAUCACUCAACAACUUCCUGUUAACUGAACAGUAAGAUCAUUUUACACAUUAGUAGCCAAGUUGAAAAUGUUCUUCACAUUUUUCUCAGGAACUACAAUACAUGGAUUUCUGAAAGAGGGACGAAAGAUACCAGAGG
Molecule: long non-coding RNA, 210 nt
Filed under: Mytilus galloprovincialis (Mediterranean mussel)
Lineage: Eukaryota; Metazoa; Mollusca; Bivalvia; Mytilida; Mytilidae
Source: RNAcentral